Molecule: long non-coding RNA, 761 nt
Organism: Bubalus bubalis (water buffalo)
Lineage: Eukaryota; Metazoa; Chordata; Mammalia; Artiodactyla; Bovidae
Exons: 3
Source: RefSeq, a predicted model, not a curated record
CACGACUGAAGCGAUGUAGCAGCAGCAGCAGCAGCAGCAAGAAUACUGAAACAGUCACUGAAAAACAAUCAGAGUUCAAAUCUGUGCUCAAACGUUCAGAUGAGGUGAAACACUGAAGGGUUCUGCCUUAACCAACACUUCAGUUGAGAGAGGGUCGGGUGAGGUUGCAGAAAUCCUGCCGCAGAAGGUGUGUCGGGAAGAUAAGGCUGAGUCUGAAUACGUCAUCUGAUUUCCUUAUACACCCAAGUGACUCGUAACCUUUUCCUCUUUAGUCACAUGCUCAGCUCCACACCAACGACUUCACUUCUAAUUCUUCCUCUGGAAGAGAGCAUCUCAUCUCAGCAAAUCAUUUUGUACUUGGCUGCAUCCAAAACAGCCACCUGUGGUUCCUGGUGUUCCUUGCAACUGCUGGCUCUUUGUCAUCUGCUCAUCUUGACAGCACCAGCUCAUGUUGGGUAAGUCUGAUGGGAAGCCUAAGGGAUAAGGAACUGGAGCUCUGAGCCUACAGCCUACCGGGAGCUGAAUUCUUUCCCACAGCAUCGUGUUGAGCUUGGCAGCAGACCCGCCCCUAGUGAGCCUCCAGACACCCGUAGCCCAGACUGACAGCUUGACUGAAGCCUUAUGAGAAUCCGUGAGCUGGAGGACCAGCUCAGCCAUCUCCACGUUCCACACAGACUGACCUUGAAGGCUCGAUGGACAUUCCUAUGUUCUCAACUGCAAUUCCGGUCUUUCCACCAGAGCAGUUUUAUUUCCUGACUACA